GCCUCAGGCGGGGUGCGGAGCGCGGCCGGACGGAGGCAAAACCUGUUUCAGGGGUUCUGGAAGGUUCCCCUCUGGCACUUUACUGCGCCUCAUGCUCAGCAGCAGCAGCUACAGCGUGCCCCGAGGAGCUGGUGAGGUCUAGAUCGCUCCUGGCUACAGCUUUCUAGACCGUAGCUCCACAGACCUUUCCAAGUACCUCACGGCUGAGAUGAAAGCUGGGAAUUCCCAGCCCGUUUGUGAGUUUAGCGUGAAGGGAACGAUUUAGACAACUUGUUCGAGACCAGGACUACAAAUCGCAUGCAAGGUAUUCCGGAUAAAGAAGUGGACCUCACUUACAGAGCAAACAUUCUCAAGGUGGGAGAGGGAGAAAGUGAGAAGCAGAACGCCUUUGAAACACCUCUGAACAUGUUGAAGGUCUCCGUCUGAACCAGCUUAUGAUCUCCACUGUUUGUGACAACUGAAAAUAGAUGUUGGGUUUGUUCCCUUGCUUCUCAAGUGGAUUUAAGGAUUCUGAUAACACACAUCCAGCUAGAUGUCAAAGAUAACCACAUUUCUCUCAUCCCACUUCAUUACAAAGGCAAGUAAAAGAAUAAAUCUGUAACUCAGUUCA
Long non-coding RNA from Pogoniulus pusillus (Red-fronted tinkerbird), 610 nucleotides. RefSeq lists it as uncharacterized. The record is from RefSeq and is a predicted model, not a curated record. Lineage: Eukaryota; Metazoa; Chordata; Aves; Piciformes; Lybiidae. The transcript is spliced from 4 exons.